UGGUCAUUGAUGAAUUGUAAAUA
This 23-nucleotide non-coding RNA is filed under the name Arabidopsis thaliana (thale cress). Lineage: Eukaryota; Viridiplantae; Streptophyta; Magnoliopsida; Brassicales; Brassicaceae. The record is from RNAcentral.